CCCUUAGAUGUCCUGGGCCGCACGCGUGCUACACUGACGCAUACAGCGAGCACUUUCCAGUUCCGAGAGGCUACUGGUAAUCAUCAAUAUGCGUCGUGAUGGGGAUAGAUCUUUGGAAUUCUGGAUCUUGAACGAGGAAUGCCUAGUAAUCGCAGGUCAUUAGCCUGCGAUGAUUAAGUCCCUGCCCUUUGUAUACACCGCCCGUCGCUACUACCGAUUUCGAGUGGUCAGGUGAAUCUUUCGGACUGUGGGCGCCCUUGAGGUGUUCGCGGAAAGUCAGGUAAAUCUUAUCACUUAGAGGAAGUAAAAGUCGUAACA
This 318-nucleotide ribosomal RNA is filed under the name uncultured eukaryote. RNAcentral's name for it is "partial 18S ribosomal RNA". It matches the Rfam family "Eukaryotic small subunit ribosomal RNA", at positions 1470 to 1796 of the family's 1831-position model. The record is from RNAcentral.